This 230-nucleotide long non-coding RNA is filed under the name Pogona vitticeps (central bearded dragon). Its description in RNAcentral is "lncRNA (ENSPVIG00000023047.1)". The record is from RNAcentral. Lineage: Eukaryota; Metazoa; Chordata; Lepidosauria; Squamata; Agamidae.
AGCUUGUAUUGUCCUAUUUGGUCACUAUUAACUUAGGAUAAAAACAACAGAAAGCCAGUGUACAUCCAGUUGCUGAAAUAAUAGUUUAAACAGUCCACUUAACAGUUAUGGGACAGAUCAAGAGCAUGUGGCCCUGCAAUGUGUAGCCUGUAUAAUUAAAAAUUGUAAACCGCCCGGAGAGUGCUUGUAGCGCUAUGGGGCGGUAUAUGAGUCCAAUAAAUAAAUAAAUA